AUGCCACCGAAUAACCUGUCGUUGUUGUUCACAUUUUUAUGUCUUAAUAUAUCACUUAGAGUCCUAUCUAGCGCCUCAAAACAUAUCUUGUUUGCCAUUGGAGCUUCAUCCCAUAGUAUUAGCGACGUCUUUUUUACUAGUUCUAUCAAGUAUGAACCCUGUUUGAUGUCACAUGUUGACUCUUCUGUAAGGAUUAGUGGAAUGUGGAACCUCGAGUGCGUUGUUCUCCCUCCUUCUAGAAGUACUGCUGCAAUACCAGAUGAUGCCACUGCUAGUACUGUCUUCCCUUCAGAACGCAACUUUGUUGUGAUCGCCUUCCAUAGGUAUGUCUUACCAGUCCCACUAUAUCCGUCCACAAAAAUUUGCUUUCCCAAAUCUUUACCAACAGAUUCCAUUAUUGAGUCAAAUGCAAGACGUUGUUCAUAG
This 426-nucleotide ribosomal RNA is filed under the name Triticum aestivum (bread wheat). RNAcentral describes it as "partial small subunit ribosomal RNA". Lineage: Eukaryota; Viridiplantae; Streptophyta; Magnoliopsida; Poales; Poaceae. The record is from RNAcentral.